RNAcentral lists this ribosomal RNA (253 nucleotides) under uncultured bacterium. RNAcentral describes it as "partial 16S ribosomal RNA". It matches the Rfam family "Bacterial small subunit ribosomal RNA", at positions 524 to 776 of the family's 1533-position model. The record is from RNAcentral.
UACGGAGGGUGCGAACGUUAAUCGGAAUCACUGGGCGUAAAGCGCGCGUAGGCGGUUUGUUAAGUGGGAUGUGAAAUCCCCGGGCUUAACCUGGGAACUGCAUUUGUGACUGCAUGGCUGGAGUGCGGCAGAGGGGGAUGGAAUUCCGCGUGUAGCAGUGAAAUGCGUAGAGAUGUGGAGGAACACCGAUGGCGAAGGCAGCCCCCUGGGUCAAGAUUGACGCUCAUGCACGAAAGCGUGGGGAGCAAACAGG